CUCCCAGCCAUAGCGUAUUCUCCUGAAAAUGGGGUUAAACGUUUGCUAAGCCUGAUUUACACCGAAUAGCAGAUAUCACGGAAGUUCAGGCGAAGGAAACAGGGAAUCAACAAAUAAUUAGCGGAGGAUUUUGUCCGAUCUAUAGCAAAAGGGGAAGAGGCAAAUUGCGCAACCGAUGAAUUCCAGUAAGAUUUACGCUAUUUUUAUGGGGAAUAGCGUAAUAGACGCUGAAAUAAGAGAAUAACCAAAGGAACUGACAAUAUGAACGCUGAAUUAAAAUACGCAUUAAUUACGACCAUAGCCGCAUUAGGCGUUAUCGUCAUUGGUGCGUUAACUGCCGUUACUCAUUAAU
RNAcentral lists this small RNA (352 nucleotides) under insect gut metagenome. Its description in RNAcentral is "Enterobacterial sRNA STnc550". It matches the Rfam family "Enterobacterial sRNA STnc550". The record is from RNAcentral.